Molecule: long non-coding RNA, 1146 nt
Filed under: Homo sapiens (human)
Lineage: Eukaryota; Metazoa; Chordata; Mammalia; Primates; Hominidae
Description: HSALNT0297708
Source: RNAcentral
GGGGGAGGGGGCCCUGAUAGAGAGGAGGUGGGGGCGGUCCCGGGGAGGCAGUCAGACCCCUGCCCUCGUCCCUCCUACUGAGGGCUCACUCUACCUCCUCCCCACCCCCAAGCUUCGCUUGCCAGCGCCAGCCGCUCCCUGUGGCGCCUCCAGCCCGUUACCCCGUGGCGCCGUUACCUCCGCUGCUGGGGCGGGAGCCCGGCCCCAGGCGGCCCCGCAUCCUUCCGCCCAGGCCCACGAGCUGUGCCUCCCAUCUCCUAGCUCGGGACCCCGCGCGGGGAGAGGCGCCAGUUGGGGGUCCGGUCGGCCACGCCACCUACGCCGGGACGGCUGCCUCCGCGGCGCGACGCUCCCACGGACUUAGCUGGGAUGCAGAAUAGAAGCUGGGCCUUUGUCUGACUACCCUGCAACAGUCAGCCACAGACGGGAAGGCAGCGCAGGAAACUGAGGCCAAAGGAGCCGCGCUUCCUCAUGAGCAUGAAGCGGCAAAGCCUGAACUAGAAGCUUCUAACGCCUAACCGUCCUCUUGCCGCACCAGGACCUACCUCUGCAAGGCCCUUCCUGACUUUUUCCUUAGAAUGUGUGUAUAUGUGUCUUUUUCCUUUUCUGAUGCUAAGACACCUCAGAAACACCAAUGUUAAGCAGAUUUCCAUCGUUGGAGGUUAAAACACCCGAAUACAAGUGUUUUCUUGAGUGUGGCAUCUGGUCAGAUGUUUUAUGGGUUGGUUUGUUUUUAAAAAAAAAAAAUUUCCUGUUAGAUGGGUGGUAAGAACCAGUCAGAGUUUGUAAACCCACCAAGCACGAGGCGGUCGGACCGUCCAGAUUCUGGAGUCCAGAAGACACCAAACGUUCUCAGAAUGCCGAACGCGGGCGCCACCUGGUGGGACUAGAACGCUUAUUGUCCCAAAUCAGCAUAGCACACAGUUCCCAUAAAUCUUAAAAAUUCCCAUCCAAGGCUCAUUUCCGUGUGACUAAAAGUCAUAUUCUCUGUUCUCGUGACUCCAAGUAAAAAUGUCCCUAAAGAGCCAAAGUAUCUUCACUGUAUAAACUAAUAAUCUAUUGGUUUGGGGAAUUUUAUUUUUUGUGAUCAAUGUUACUUUAGCCUUUCUAUGAUAUACAUAUAAAUAAAAAAGUUUUCUUCCAUGA